Molecule: ribosomal RNA, 468 nt
Filed under: uncultured bacterium
Lineage: Bacteria
Description: partial 16S ribosomal RNA
Rfam family: Bacterial small subunit ribosomal RNA
Source: RNAcentral
GACGAACGCUGGCGGCGUGCUUAACACAUGCAAGUCGAACGGAAAGGCCCUGCGUUUGUGGGGUGCUCGAGUGGCGAACGGGUGAGUAACACGUGAGUAACCUGCCCUUGACUUUGGGAUAACUUCAGGAAACUGGGGCUAAUACCGGAUAGGAGCUCCUGCUGCAUGGUGGGGGUUGGAAAUUUUCGGCGGUCGGGGAUGGACGCGCGGCUUAUGAGCUUGUUGGUGGGGUAGUGGCUUACCAAGGCUUUGACGGGUAGCCGGCCCGAGAGGGUGACCGGCCACAUUGGGACUGAGAUACGGCCCAGACUCCUACGGGAGGCAGCAGUGGCGAAUAUUGCACAAUGGGCCGAAGCCUGAUGCAGCAACGCCGCGUGCGGGAUGACGGCCUUCGGGUUGUAAACCGCUUUCGCCUGUGACGAAGCGUGAGUGACGGUAAUGGGUAAAGAAGCACCGGCUAACUACGUG